AUACGGAGGGUGCAAGCGUUAUUUCGGAAUCACUGGGCGUAAGGGACGCGUAGGCGGGUUGGCAAGUCAGAUGUGAAAUCCUACAGCUUAACUGUAGAACUGCAUUUGAAACUGCUAACCUAGAGUAUGGGAGGGGGAGAUGGAAUUAGUGGUGUAGGGGUAAAAUCCGUAGAUAUCACUAGGAAUACCGAAAGCGAAGGCGAUCUCCUGGAACAUAACUGACGCUAAGGCGUGAAAGCGUGGGGAGCAAACAGGAUUAGAAACCCUAGUAGUCC
This 275-nucleotide ribosomal RNA is filed under the name uncultured bacterium. RNAcentral describes it as "partial 16S ribosomal RNA". It matches the Rfam family "Bacterial small subunit ribosomal RNA", at positions 523 to 796 of the family's 1533-position model. The record is from RNAcentral.